UGCUAUACAUGCAAGUCGAGCGAAUGGAUUGAGAGCUUGCUCUCAAGAAGUUAGCGGCGGACGGGUGAGUAACACGUGGGUAACCUGCCCAUAAGACUGGGAUAACUCCGGGAAACCGGGGCUAAUACCGGAUAACAUUUUGAACCGCAUGGUUCGAAAUUGAAAGGCGGCUUCGGCUGUCACUUAUGGAUGGACCCGCGUCGCAUUAGCUAGUUGGUGAGGUAACGGCUCACCAAGGCAACGAUGCGUAGCCGACCUGAGAGGGUGAUCGGCCACACUGGGACUGAGACACGGCCCAGACUCCUACGGGAGGCAGCAGUAGGGAAUCUUCCGCAAUGGACGAAAGUCUGACGGAGCAACGCCGCGUGAGUGAUGAAGGCUUUCGGGUCGUAAAACUCUGUUGUUAGGGAAGAACAAGUGCUAGUUGAAUAAGCUGGCACCUUGACGGUACCUAACCAGAAAGCCACGGCUAACUACGUGCCAGCAGCCGCGGUAAUACGUAGGUGGCAAGCGUUAUCCGGAAUUAUUGGGCGUAAAGCGCGCGCAGGUGGUUUCUUAAGUCUGAUGUGAAAGCCCACGGCUCAACCGUGGAGGGUCAUUGGAAACUGGGAGACUUGAGUGCAGAAGAGGAAAGUGGAAUUCCAUGUGUAGCGGUGAAAUGCGUAGAGAUAUGGAGG
Molecule: ribosomal RNA, 677 nt
Filed under: Bacillus thuringiensis
Lineage: Bacteria; Bacillati; Bacillota; Bacilli; Caryophanales; Bacillaceae
Description: bacterial SSU rRNA
Rfam family: Bacterial small subunit ribosomal RNA
Source: RNAcentral